RNAcentral lists this ribosomal RNA (465 nucleotides) under Vreelandella stevensii. RNAcentral's name for it is "partial 16S ribosomal RNA". It matches the Rfam family "Bacterial small subunit ribosomal RNA", at positions 338 to 795 of the family's 1533-position model. Lineage: Bacteria; Pseudomonadati; Pseudomonadota; Gammaproteobacteria; Oceanospirillales; Halomonadaceae. The record is from RNAcentral.
CCUACGGGGAGCUGCAGUGGGGAAUAUUGGACAAUGGGCGAAAGCCUGAUCCAGCCAUGCCGCGUGUGUGAAGAAGGCCUUCGGGUUGUAAAGCACUUUCAGUGGGGAAGAAAGCCUUGGGGCUAAUACCCUCGAGAAAGGACAUCACCCACAGAAGAAGCACCGGCUAACUCCGUGCCAGCAGCCGCGGUAAUACGGAGGGUGCGAGCGUUAAUCGGAAUUACUGGGCGUAAAGCGCGCGUAGGCGGUCUGAUAAGCCGGUUGUGAAAGCCCCGGGCUCAACCUGGGAACGGCAUCCGGAACUGUCAGGCUAGAGUGCAGGAGAGGAAGGUAGAAUUCCCGGUGUAGCGGUGAAAUGCGUAGAGAUCGGGAGGAAUACCAGUGGCGAAGGCGGCCUUCUGGACUGACACUGACGCUGAGGUGCGAAAGCGUGGGUAGCAAACAGGAUUAGAUACCCCGGUAGUC